RNAcentral lists this unclassified non-coding RNA (1737 nucleotides) under Hevea brasiliensis (rubber tree). The record is from RNAcentral. Lineage: Eukaryota; Viridiplantae; Streptophyta; Magnoliopsida; Malpighiales; Euphorbiaceae.
UUAUUUCUUGCAUUUGAUCCGAUUAACAACAUGUUUCUUGGAUCUUGCAAAAUUUUAAGGGAAAAAUCCCUUUGCUUUUGUGAAGUCCAAUAACCAUCUCUGCUUUCCAUUUCUCUUGAAUCAUAUAUAGACUUGGAAAGUUAUCAGCUUUUCUUGUUCUGAUAUAACAGAGCGGGUAGCUCACCAAGAUUGCCAUGUCAAUGGAACAAGGCACGUUCUGUUUGGGAAGUACGAGAUGGGGAAGCUAUUAGGCCAAGGGACCUUCGCCAAGGUCUAUAAAGGGAAAAACUUGGCUACCCAGGAGAGUGUUGCCAUUAAAGUCAUCCAUAAGGACCAUGUAAAGAAGAAAGGAUUAAUGGACCAAAUAAAGCGAGAGAUCUCUGUGAUGCAUCUCGUCAAGCACCCAAAUAUUGUCGAGUUGAAGGAGGUCAUGGCCACCAAAUCAAAGGUUUUCUUCGUCAUGGAAUUUGUGAGAGGCGGUGAGUUGUUUGCCAAAAUCGAGAAGGGAAAGCUCAUGGAAGAUUUGGCCAGAAAAUAUUUUCAACAAUUAAUUAGCGCGGUUGAUUAUUGCCAUAGCCGUGGAGUUUCUCACCGUGAUUUAAAGCCUGAGAAUCUUCUCUUGGACGAGAAUGGUGACUUGAAAGUCUCCGAUUUUGGCCUCUCCGCCCUUCCGGAGCAGCACUGGAACGAUGGGUUGCUACACACACAAUGUGGCACUCCGGCGUAUGUUGCCCCUGAGGUUUUGAGGAAGAAAGGGUACGAUGGUGCGAAGGCUGAUAUCUGGUCUUGUGGCGUUAUUCUUUUUGUUUUGCUUGCUGGGUACUUGCCAUUUCAAAACGCGAAUUUGAUGAAGAUGUAUGUGAAGAUUUUCAAGGCGGAGUACGAGUUCCCUCCCUGGAUUUCACCGGAUGCCCGGAGAUUGAUUUCCAAGCUUCUCGUUGUUGAUCCAGAGAGGAGAAUCGCAGUCCCUCAUAUAAGGCAAAAUCCCUGGUUUUGCAAGGGACUCACUAUACCCAUCACGCUUUGUAACGAUUCAGAAGAAAGCGAGAAGGGUCGCGAAGUUAUUGGUGAAGAAAUGAUUAAACUAUCAGAAACAAAUCAUUCUCCACCUUUCUAUAAUGCAUUUGAGUUCAUAUCAGCCAUGUCGUCCGGAUUUGAUCUGUCAAGCUUGUUCGAAAACAAGAAGAAAUCUGGUUCAAUGUUCACUUCAAAGUGUUCCGCGCCGGUGAUCCUAACAAAGUUGGAAUCAGCAGCGAAGGAGUUGAAUUUUAGAGUGGUGAGUGACUCAGAAUUUAAGGUGAAAUUGCAGGGGAAAGUGGAAGGAAGGAAAGGAAAACUGGCAGUGACAGCGGAGGUGUUCGAAGUAGCACCGGAAGUGGCGGUGGUUGAGUUCUCCAAGUCAUCCGGCGAUACUCUUGAGUACACCAAGUUUUGUGAAGCGGAUGUUAGGCCUGCCCUGAAAGACAUAGUUUGGAGUUGGCAAGGUGAAGGCAACUGCCACCAACUAGAAGGCCAUGUAGCUACAAGUUAGGUUUGGUUAAUUAUUAGCAAAAAAACAAAAUUAUAAAAUCAUCAAACCAGAAGUCUAAUAUUGUAGAUAGCAUUGUCCUAAACUUAAUAUACUUGUAUAUUCUUUUAACCCUUUUGGUUUUAGGCAAUGGGCUGAAUGUUCUGUAAUGUUAAAUAUCAUUGCAAAUGGUUUUGAUUGUGUAAAUGAGGGAUUUGUUGAAGGGGCAC